RNAcentral lists this ribosomal RNA (261 nucleotides) under Triticum aestivum (bread wheat). Its description in RNAcentral is "partial small subunit ribosomal RNA". Lineage: Eukaryota; Viridiplantae; Streptophyta; Magnoliopsida; Poales; Poaceae. The record is from RNAcentral.
AUGGCGAUGAGAUGCGCGCUGACCUCGCUCCCCGCGCGCCUCCGGUCCCCGGCGGUGGUAGCCAGCGGGACGCGGCGCCUUCUGAGUGACGGGAAGGGGCGCGUGCUCAGCGAGGAGGAGCGCGCCAAGGAGAACGUCUACAUCCAGAAGAUGGAGAGGGAGAGGCAGGAGAAGCUCAAGAAAAAGCUCGAACAGGAGAAGGAUGCGGCCGACAAGGCUAAGUCCGGCGCCGACGGCAAGGUAUACGACACUGCCCUCUAG